This 1017-nucleotide ribosomal RNA is filed under the name uncultured bacterium. RNAcentral describes it as "bacterial SSU rRNA". It matches the Rfam family "Bacterial small subunit ribosomal RNA", at positions 355 to 1375 of the family's 1533-position model. The record is from RNAcentral.
UGAGGAAUAUUGGUCAAUGGACGCGAGUCUGAACCAGCCAAGUAGCGUGAAGGAUGACUGCCCCAUGGGUUGUAAACUUCUUUUAUAUGGGAAUAAAGUGGUCCACGUGUGGACUUUUGUAUGUACCAUAUGAAUAAGGAUCGGCUAACUCCGUGCCAGCAGCCGCGGUAAUACGGAGGAUCCGAGCGUUAUCCGGAUUUAUUGGGUUUAAAGGGAGCGUAGGCGGAUUGUUAAGUCAGUUGUGAAAGUUUGCGGCUCAACCGUAAAAUUGCAGUUGAUACUGGCAGUCUUGAGUGCAGUAGAGGUGGGCGGAAUUCGUGGUGUAGCGGUGAAAUGCUUAGAUAUCACGAAGGACUCCGAUUGCGAAGGCAGCUCACUGGAGUGUAACUGACGCUGAUGCUCGAAAGUGUGGGUAUCAAACAGGAUUAGAUACCCUGGUAGUCCACACAGUAAACGAUGAAUACUCGCUGUUUGCGAUAUACAGUAAGCGGCCAAGCGAAAGCAUUAAGUAUUCCACCUGGGGAGUACGCCGGCAACGGUGAAACUCAAAGGAAUUGACGGGGGCCCGCACAAGCGGAGGAACAUGUGGUUUAAUUCGAUGAUACGCGAGGAACCUUACCCGGGCUUAAAUUGCAAAUGAAUUAUGGGGAAACCCAUACGCCGCAAGGCAUUUGUGAAGGUGCUGCAUGGUUGUCGUCAGCUCGUGCCGUGAGGUGUCGGCUUAAGUGCCAUAACGAGCGCAACCCUUAUCUUCAGUUACUAACAGGUCAUGCUGAGGACUCUGGAGAGACUGCCGUCGUAAGAUGUGAGGAAGGUGGGGAUGACGUCAAAUCAGCACGGCCCUUACGUCCGGGGCUACACACGUGUUACAAUGGGGGGUACAGAAGGCCGCUACCUGGUGACAGGAUGCCAAUCCCAAAAACCUCUCUCAGUUCGGAUCGAAGUCUGCAACCCGACUUCGUGAAGCUGGAUUCGCUAGUAAUCGCGCAUCAGCCAUGGCGCGGUGAAUACGUUCCC